CCUACGGGUGGCAGCAGUGGGGGAUAUUGGACAAUGGGGGGAACCCUGAUCCAGCGACGCCGCGUGAGUGAAGAAGUAUUUCGGUAUGUAAAGCUCUGUCAGCAGGGAAGAAAGAAAUGACGGUACCUGACCAAGAAGCCCCGGCUAACUACGUGCCAGCAGCCGCGGUAAUACGUAGGGGGCAAGCGUUAUCCGGAUUUACUGGGUGUAAAGGGAGCGUAGACGGCGAAGCAAGUCUGAAGUGAAAACCCAGGGCUCAACCCUGGGACUGCUUUGGAAACUGUUUUGCUAGAGUGUCGGAGAGGUAAGUGGAAUUCCUAGUGUAGCGGUGAAAUGCGUAGAUAUUAGGAGGAACACCAGUGGCGAAGGCGGCUUACUGGACGAUAACUGACGUUGAGGCUCGAAAGCGUGGGGAGCAAACAGGAUUAGAUACCCUAGUAGUC
Molecule: ribosomal RNA, 443 nt
Filed under: uncultured bacterium
Lineage: Bacteria
Description: partial 16S ribosomal RNA
Rfam family: Bacterial small subunit ribosomal RNA
Source: RNAcentral